RNAcentral lists this ribosomal RNA (1446 nucleotides) under Triticum aestivum (bread wheat). Its description in RNAcentral is "partial small subunit ribosomal RNA". Lineage: Eukaryota; Viridiplantae; Streptophyta; Magnoliopsida; Poales; Poaceae. The record is from RNAcentral.
AUGGUUUCCUCUGAGAUACCUUCAGUUACAACAACCCAUACACAGCGCCCCAAGCUCUUUACAGGGAUGAUACUUCUGCCAAAAGGGCCUCCAGAUGUUGUCCUUCCUGAAAAUGUUGAGUUUGAUUUUAACGAUGUUUUUGGUGCUACGGCGGUCCAGACCCCCACAGAAGUAAGCAUUCUCACUCCAGGCAGCCCUGCACCUUUGGCCGAGUCGAAUGAGGAGGUUUACAAUGACCCUGUAGUCAUUACCAAGCGAUCUCAUUCUCUUGUUGGCCCAACUUCACUUGUUAGCCAAUCCUUGCCACUUAGUAAGCUUACUCUACAUGAGUCUGAGAGCUCAUUAGAUCUGCUAGAGUGUCUUUCUAAAGAAAAGAAAAGUGGCCAGGGGAGUCUUAGUGAUGAAGAGCUCAAUGAUACAACAAAGGAGAAUGAGGCUGUUGGACUCGACGACUUUGAACUCUUGAAGCUUGUUGGCCAAGGGGCAUUUGGCAAAGUCUAUCAGGUGAGAAGGAAAUGUACUUCAGAUAUAUAUGCAAUGAAAGUCAUGAGGAAAGACAAGAUUUUGGAGAAGAACCAUGCUGAGUACAUGAAAGCAGAGAGAGAUAUACUGACAAAAGUUGAUCAUCCUUUUGUGGUGCAGCUGAGGUACUCCUUUCAGACUAAGUACCGACUUUAUCUGGUCUUGGACUUUGUAAAUGGGGGGCAUCUCUUCUUUCAGCUUUACCAACAAGGCUUGUUUAGGGAGGAGCUUGCGCGCAUCUAUACUGCUGAAAUUGUAUCUGCUGUAGCCCACCUUCAUGCCAAUGGGAUUAUGCAUAGAGAUCUGAAGCCUGAGAACAUCUUAUUGGACGCUCAUGGCCAUGCCAUGCUAACUGAUUUUGGCCUGGCAAAGGAGUUUGAUGAGAACACUAGAUCAAAUUCAAUGUGCGGCACUGUGGAGUAUAUGGCCCCGGAAAUUGUUCAGGGCAGAGGUCAUGAUAAGGCUGCAGACUGGUGGAGUGUGGGGAUCCUUCUUUUCGAAAUGCUUACGGGCAAGCCCCCAUUUUUUGGUGGAAACAGGGACAAGAUUCAGCAGAAGAUAGUGAAGGAGAAGAUGAAGCUUCCAACGUAUUUGUCUAGUGAGGUUCACUCUCUGCUGAAAGGGUUACUGCACAAAGAAGCUGGCAGGCGACUUGGAAGUGGACCGGGCGGCAGUGAUGAAAUAAAGAACCACAAGUGGUUCAAGGCAGUGAACUGGAAGAAACUAGAGGCUCGACAGAUCAAGCCAAGCUUCUGCCCAAAUGUUGCUGGGCAGACCUGCAUUGCAAACUUUGACGAGUGCUGGACGAGUAUGCCCGUGCUGGAUUCCCCCGUGGCCAGCCCUGUCGCUGCAGAUAGCAACUUCGUGGGGUUCAGUUACGUGCGGCCGGAGCCAUUCCUUCAAAAGCCGAGUCCUCUAGGCUGA